This 253-nucleotide ribosomal RNA is filed under the name uncultured prokaryote. RNAcentral describes it as "partial 16S ribosomal RNA". It matches the Rfam family "Bacterial small subunit ribosomal RNA", at positions 524 to 776 of the family's 1533-position model. The record is from RNAcentral.
UACGUAGGGUGCAAGCAUUAAUCGGAUUUAUUGGGCGUAAAGGACGCGUAGGCGGAUAAGCAAGUCAGUUGUGAAAUCCUUCGGCUCAACCGAAGAAUGGCAAUUGAAACUACUUGUCUUGAGGGUAGAUGGAGAGAACGGAAUUCCACGUGUAGCGGUGAAAUGCGUAGAUAUGUGGAAGAACACCGGUGGCGAAGGCGGUUCUCUAAUUUAUACCUGACGCUGAGGCGUGAAAGCAAGGGGAGCAAACAGG